Molecule: ribosomal RNA, 473 nt
Filed under: Centipeda dianae
Lineage: Bacteria; Bacillati; Bacillota; Negativicutes; Selenomonadales; Selenomonadaceae
Description: bacterial SSU rRNA
Rfam family: Bacterial small subunit ribosomal RNA
Source: RNAcentral
GACGAACGCUGGCGGCGUGCUUAACACAUGCAAGUCGAACGGAGCGAAUGAAAGCUUGCUUUUAUGAGCUUAGUGGCAAACGGGUGAGUAACACGUAGACAACCUGCCGACAGGAUGGGGACAACAUUCCGAAAGGAAUGCUAAUACCGAAUGAAGCGGAGGAGAGGCAUCUCUCUUCCGUGAAAGAUGGCCUCUUUUUAUGCUAUCACCUGUUGAUGGGUCUGCGUCUGAUUAGCUGGUUGGUGAGGUAACGGCUCACCAAGGCGACGAUCAGUAGCCGGUCUGAGAGGAUGAACGGCCACAUUGGGACUGAGACACGGCCCAGACUCCUACGGGAGGCAGCAGUGGGGAAUCUUCCGCAAUGGGCGCAAGCCUGACGGAGCAACGCCGCGUGAGUGAAGAAGGUCUUCGGAUCGUAAAGCUCUGUUGACGGGGACGAACGUGCGGAGUGCGAAUAGCGCUUUGUAAGACGG